RNAcentral lists this ribosomal RNA (472 nucleotides) under uncultured marine bacterium. Its description in RNAcentral is "bacterial SSU rRNA". It matches the Rfam family "Bacterial small subunit ribosomal RNA", at positions 8 to 476 of the family's 1533-position model. The record is from RNAcentral.
AGAGUUUGAUCCUGGCUCAGGAUGAACGCUAGCGGCAGGCCUAAUACAUGCAAGUCGAGGGGUAAGAGUCAGCUUGCUGACUACACGACCGGCGCACGGGUGCGUAACGCGUAUGCAACCUACCUUUAACAGAGGAAUAGCCCCGAGAAAUCGGGAUUAAUACCACAUAACAUUAUGAUAUGGCAUCAUAUUAUAAUUAAAACUCCGGUGGUUAAAGAUGGGCAUGCGUGACAUUAGCUAGUUGGUGAGGUAACUGCUCACCAAGGCUACGAUGUCUAGGGGUUCUGAGAGGAUGAUCCCCCACACUGGUACUGAGACACGGACCAGACUCCUACGGGAGGCAGCAGUAAGGAAUAUUGCGCAAUGGAGGCAACUCUGACGCAGCCAUGCCGCGUGCAGGAUUGAAGGCCUUAUGGGUCGUAAACUGCUUUUAUUUAGGAAUAAACUUUCGUACGUGUACGAAACUGAAGGU